RNAcentral lists this transfer RNA (86 nucleotides) under Candidatus Woesearchaeota archaeon. Its description in RNAcentral is "tRNA-Leu". It matches the Rfam family "tRNA". From Rfam's summary of the family: Transfer RNA (tRNA) molecules are approximately 80 nucleotides in length. Their secondary structure includes four short double-helical elements and three loops (D, anti-codon, and T loops). Lineage: Archaea; Nanobdellati; Candidatus Woesearchaeota. The record is from RNAcentral.
GCUGGGGUCGCAUAGCCUGGCCAUUGCGGCAGAUUCAGGCUCUGCUGUUCUACCAGAACACGCGGGUUCAAAUCCCGCCCCCAGCG